Non-coding RNA from Paramuricea clavata, 527 nucleotides. NCBI's taxonomy places the organism in Eukaryota, Metazoa, Cnidaria, Anthozoa, Malacalcyonacea, Plexauridae. The record is from the annotation of a GenBank genome assembly.
UAAUGAUGCACAAAACCUGCAUAUUAAAACGAAUUAGAAGAUGUAGUACAAAUGUAGAUUGAGAAGAUUAAAUUUGUCAAUGAAAAUACCCUGAAUUAAAAACAUUUAUCUCACAUAAGGGCCUCCUAUUUCUAGCCGAAUUUUUUUCACUUGUCACCUUUUUCAAAUUUGUCUUAUCAAACACCGACUUGACUGGCGUUUGACUAAACUGUUUGGUUUGACAAUGACCCUGAAAUAGAGUCGAAAUAUUACCACCAUAAUUUGUGUCUUGUUUUCUUCCAAAUAACUCAAAAAUUGUCUGCUGGUAAAGGAUUUCAAAGCAAUAAGCCCAAAUGUUGUCUCCUCCAAAAAAAUCUGAGGUAAUGGAAAGAAACACUAAAGCGAAUAAAAACUGUUUUUAUAACUUUUUAGAACUAAUAUAUUUAGAAAUAGCCCGCUUUUACAUGCUAUUAACAUUUUUAAUACUAUAAAGAACGGAUAGGAUAGUAAAUAAUUGUAAUUUAAUAUAUACUAUAGUUGUAAACUAC